UUGAACGCUGGCGGCAGGCCUAACACAUGCAAGUCGAGCGGAAACGAGUUAUCUGAACCUUCGGGGGACGAUAACGGCGUCGAGCGGCGGACGGGUGAGUAAUGCCUAGGAAAUUGCCCUGAUGUGGGGGAUAACCAUUGGAAACGAUGGCUAAUACCGCAUGAUGCCUACGGGCCAAAGAGGGGGACCUUCGGGCCUCUCGCGUCAGGAUAUGCCUAGGUGGGAUUAGCUAGUUGGUGAGGUAAGGGCUCACCAAGGCGACGAUCCCUAGCUGGUCUGAGAGGAUGAUCAGCCACACUGGAACUGAGACACGGUCCAGACUCCUACGGGAGGCAGCAGUGGGGAAUAUUGCACAAUGGGCGCAAGCCUGAUGCAGCCAUGCCGCGUGUGUGAAGAAGGCCUUCGGGUUGUAAAGCACUUUCAGUCGUGAGGAAGGUAGUGUAGUUAAUAGCUGCAUUAUUUGACGUUAGCGACAGAAGAAGCACCGGCUAACUCCGUGCCAGCAGCCGCGGUAAUACGGAGGGUGCGAGCGUUAAUCGGAAUUACUGGGCGUAAAGCGCAUGCAGGUGGUUUGUUAAGUCAGAUGUGAAAGCCCGGGGCUCAACCUCGGAAUUGCAUUUGAAACUGGCAGACUAGAGUACUGUAGAGGGGGGUAGAAUUUCAGGUGUAGCGGUGAAAUGCGUAGAGAUCUGAAGGAAUACCGGUGGCGAAGGCGGCCCCCUGGACAGAUACUGACACUCAGAUGCGAAAGCGUGGGGAGCAAACAGGAUUAGAUACCCUGGUAGUCCACGCCGUAAACGAUGUCUACUUGGAGGUUGUGGCCUUGAGCCGUGGCUUUCGGAGCUAACGCGUUAAGUAGACCGCCUGGGGAGUACGGUCGCAAGAUUAAAACUCAAAUGAAUUGACGGGGGCCCGCACAAGCGGUGGAGCAUGUGGUUUAAUUCGAUGCAACGCGAAGAACCUUACCUACUCUUGACAUCCAGAGAACUUUCCAGAGAUGGAUUGGUGCCUUCGGGAACUCUGAGACAGGUGCUGCAUGGCUGUCGUCAGCUCGUGUUGUGAAAUGUUGGGUUAAGUCCCGCAACGAGCGCAACCCUUAUCCUUGUUUGCCAGCGAGUAAUGUCGGGAACUCCAGGGAGACUGCCGGUGAUAAACCGGAGGAAGGUGGGGACGACGUCAAGUCAUCAUGGCCCUUACGAGUAGGGCUACACACGUGCUACAAUGGCGCAUACAGAGGGCGGCCAACUUGCGAAAGUGAGCGAAUCCCAAAAAGUGCGUCGUAGUCCGGAUUGGAGUCUGCAACUCGACUCCAUGAAGUCGGAAUCGCUAGUAAUCGUGGAUCAGAAUGCCACGGUGAAUACGUUCCCGGGCCUUGUACACACCGCCCGUCAC
RNAcentral lists this ribosomal RNA (1392 nucleotides) under Vibrio sp. RNAcentral's name for it is "bacterial SSU rRNA". It matches the Rfam family "Bacterial small subunit ribosomal RNA", at positions 29 to 1400 of the family's 1533-position model. The record is from RNAcentral. Lineage: Bacteria; Pseudomonadati; Pseudomonadota; Gammaproteobacteria; Vibrionales; Vibrionaceae.